RNAcentral lists this ribosomal RNA (384 nucleotides) under Neoliomera striata. Its description in RNAcentral is "partial 12S ribosomal RNA". The record is from RNAcentral. Lineage: Eukaryota; Metazoa; Arthropoda; Malacostraca; Decapoda; Xanthidae.
UUAGAUACCCUACUAUACUAAUAGAAACCUAAAUUAUUAAUAGAUAUGUUCUUUAAAUUUGAAGAAUUUGGCGGUGGUUAAUACUUGUUAGAGGAACCUGUUUUUGAAUCGAUACACCACGCGGAAUCUUACUCAUUUUAUUUAGCUUAUAUACCGUCAUUAUCAGAUGAUUUUUAGAAAAUUUAAUCAUUAAAAUUUGUUAUAUCAAAGCAAAUUAGAUCAAGGUGUAGCCGAUAAAUGAGUUAAAAUGGGUUACAAUGAAAAUUUAUUCAUUACGGAGUAGUUUAUGCAAAUGUAAACUAGGAAGGAGGAUUUGAUUGUAAUAUAAGUUUAAUAAGCUAGAAAGAUAUGAGCUCUAAACCAUGUACAUAUCGCCCGUCGCUA